Orbicella faveolata is the source of this 147-nucleotide long non-coding RNA. The record is from RefSeq and is a predicted model, not a curated record. NCBI's taxonomy places the organism in Eukaryota, Metazoa, Cnidaria, Anthozoa, Scleractinia, Merulinidae.
UUUUUGUCAGUAGUUUAAAACAUAAGCUUAUAACAUUUUGUUCUAUCGGUAGCGUUUGCAUGGAGAAAAGAAGACAUUGUCCGCAAGGAAAGAAACGUUCAAGAAACACGUUCAGAGGCUGUCUUCACUCUACGAUGCCACAAAGAG